Molecule: long non-coding RNA, 214 nt
Filed under: Columba livia (rock pigeon)
Lineage: Eukaryota; Metazoa; Chordata; Aves; Columbiformes; Columbidae
Description: partial uncharacterized LOC102086072
Source: RNAcentral
CCUGUGUGCAUGAGAAACCUGGACAGAGCAGGUUCCCCUGCAUGCAGCUUCCCAAAGAACUGUAUUUUUUCUGUGCUGGAGGUGAGCUUGAAGAGUCAGUCCAAUCCUGAAACCAAGUAUGUCUAUGAAGCUGCUUUCCUAUGAUCUCUGUGGUCAUUCCCCAAUGCAGAUAUCUGUAGAGGAAGAUUCACCCACCACUUAAUCUCCAUGGGAC